GCUACGGGAGGCUGCAGUGAGGAAUAUUGGUCAAUGGACGAGAGUCUGAACCAGCCAAGUAGCGUGAAGGAUGACUGCCCUAUGGGUUGUAAACUUCUUUUAUAAAGGAAUAAAACGAGGCACGUGUGCCUUUUUGCAUGUACUUUAUGAAUAAGGAUCGGCUAACUCCGUGCCAGCAGCCGCGGUAAUACGGAGGAUCCGAGCGUUAUCCGGAUUUAUUUGGUUUAAAGGGAGCGUAGAUGGGUUGUUAAGUCAGUUGUGAAAGUUUGCGGCUCAACCGUAAAAUUGCAAUUGAUACUGGCAGUCUUGAUUACAGUUGAGGUAGGCGGAAUUCGUGGUGUAGCGGUGAAAUGCUUAGAUAUCACGAAGAACCCCGAUUGCGAAGGCAGCUUACUAAACUGUGACUGACAUUGAUGCUCGAAAGUGUGGGUAUCAAACAGGAUUAGAUACCCUAGUAGUC
RNAcentral lists this ribosomal RNA (460 nucleotides) under uncultured bacterium. Its description in RNAcentral is "partial 16S ribosomal RNA". It matches the Rfam family "Bacterial small subunit ribosomal RNA", at positions 338 to 795 of the family's 1533-position model. The record is from RNAcentral.